AUAGGUUUAACGAGCCCGACGGCCAUAAAGUCUAAUGCAUUUGUUGUCGUCGUUGACGAUGCACGAGUUCGAGCCCCGGUCGGGUCUACGGUGGUGGCCUCUGAUGCUCGCACUAGUUGCGAUAUCGUCGUUAUUGUCCUUAGUAAAGCUUGUUCCUAUCGUUCGAGGACGACGACGACGACGACGACGACGACGACGACGACGACGACGACGACGACGAGGACGACGACGAGGACGACGACGACGACGACGAGGACGACGACAACGACGACAAUUCCUUGAAUAAAUCAACAGAGUCUCGCAAGAAAAUUCCAGAGUAUAAAAAGAAGAAAAAAAAGAAGAGAAGGAGAAGGAAGU
Molecule: long non-coding RNA, 357 nt
Organism: Vespa crabro (European hornet)
Lineage: Eukaryota; Metazoa; Arthropoda; Insecta; Hymenoptera; Vespidae
Exons: 3
Source: RefSeq, a predicted model, not a curated record